RNAcentral lists this ribosomal RNA (659 nucleotides) under uncultured bacterium. RNAcentral describes it as "bacterial SSU rRNA". The stretch from base 1 to 546 matches the Rfam family "Bacterial small subunit ribosomal RNA", at positions 338 to 873 of the family's 1533-position model. The record is from RNAcentral.
CCUACGGGAGGCAGCAGUAGGGAAUAUUGGGCAAUGGACGGAAGUCUGACCCAGCCAUGCCGCGUGCAGGAAGAAGGUCCUCUGGAUUGUAAACUGCUUUAGACGGGGAAGAAUAAGGAUCAUGCGUGAUCUGAUGACGGUACCCGUAGAAUAAGCACCGGCUAACUACGUGCCAGCAGCCGCGGUAAUACGUAGGGUGCGAGCGUUGUCCGGAUUUAUUGGGUUUAAAGGGUGCGUAGGCGGGAGAGUAAGUUCGCUUUUAAAGCCGGCCGCUUAACGGUCAGGUAGGGGCGGAUACUGCUUUUCUUGAGAGGGCUCGGGGCUGGCGGAAUUUGUGGUGUAGCGGUGAAAUGCAUAGAUACCACAAGGAACACCGAUCGCGUAGGCAGCCAGCCAGGGCCUUUCUGACGCUGAGGCACGAAAGUGCGGGGAGCAAACAGGAUUAGGAUACCCUGGUAGUCCGGCACUAGUAACGAUGCAUACUCGGUGUCGGUCGUCGUUAGUAGCCGGUCGUCCGUCGAGGGAAACCGGAACGUAAGUAGUGCCGACCGUCGGGGUAGGUACGGCCGGCCGGAACCGGUACGGUAAACGUACGUAAAGUUAGUUAAGUUAGUUACGGUUCGUGAGACGUUGCCGACGGACGACGACGAGGGAGGAGG